RNAcentral lists this ribosomal RNA (1448 nucleotides) under uncultured organism. RNAcentral describes it as "SSU rRNA". It matches the Rfam family "Bacterial small subunit ribosomal RNA". The record is from RNAcentral.
GGCUCAGGAUGAACGCUAGCUACAGGCUUAACACAUGCAAGUCGAGGGGCAUCAGGAAGAAAGCUUGCUUUCUUUGCUGGCGACCGGCGCACGGGUGAGUAACACGUAUCCAACCUGCCCUUUACUCGGGGAUAGCCUUUCGAAAGAAAGAUUAAUACCCGAUAGCAUAAUGAUUCCGCAUGGUUUCAUUAUUAAAGGAUUCCGGUAAAGGAUGGGGAUGCGUUCCAUUAGGUUGUUGGUGAGGUAACGGCCCACCAAGCCUUCGAUGGAUAGGGGUUCUGAGAGGAAGGUCCCCCACAUUGGAACUGAGACACGGUCCAAACUCCUACGGGAGGCAGCAGUGAGGAAUAUUGGUCAAUGGGCGCUAGCCUGAACCAGCCAAGUAGCGUGAAGGAUGAAGGCUCUAUGGGUCGUAAACUUCUUUUAUAUAAGAAUAAAGUGCAGUAUGUAUACUGUUUUGUAUGUAUUAUAUGAAUAAGGAUCGGCUAACUCCGUGCCAGCAGCCGCGGUAAUACGGAGGAUCCGAGCGUUAUCCGGAUUUAUUGGGUUUAAAGGGAGCGUAGGUGGACUGGUAAGUCAGUUGUGAAAGUUUGCGGCUCAACCGUAAAAUUGCAGUUGAUACUGUCAGUCUUGAGUACAGUAGAGGUGGGCGGAAUUCGUGGUGUAGCGGUGAAAUGCUUAGAUAUCACGAAGAACUCCGAUUGCGAAGGCAGCUCACUGGACUGCAACUGACACUGAUGCUCGAAAGUGUGGGUAUCAAACAGGAUUAGAUACCCUGGUAGUCCACACAGUAAACGAUGAAUACUCGCUGUUUGCGAUAUACAGUAAGCGGCCAAGCGAAAGCAUUAAGUAUUCCACCUGGGGAGUACGCCGGCAACGGUGAAACUCAAAGGAAUUGACGGGGGCCCGCACAAGCGGAGGAACAUGUGGUUUAAUUCGAUGAUACGCGAGGAACCUUACCCGGGCUUAAAUUGCAGUGGAAUGAUGUGGAAACAUGUCAGUGAGCAAUCACCGCUGUGAAGGUGCUGCAUGGUUGUCGUCAGCUCGUGCCGUGAGGUGUCGGCUUAAGUGCCAUAACGAGCGCAACCCUUAUCUUUAGUUACUAACAGGUUAUGCUGAGGACUCUAGAGAGACUGCCGUCGUAAGAUGUGAGGAAGGUGGGGAUGACGUCAAAUCAGCACGGCCCUUACGUCCGGGGCUACACACGUGUUACAAUGGGGGGUACAGAAGGCAGCUAGCGGGUGACCGUAUGCUAAUCCCAAAAUCCUCUCUCAGUUCGGAUCGAAGUCUGCAACCCGACUUCGUGAAGCUGGAUUCGCUAGUAAUCGCGCAUCAGCCACGGCGCGGUGAAUACGUUCCCGGGCCUUGUACACACCGCCCGUCAAGCCAUGGGAGCCGGGGGUACCUGAAGUACGUAACCGCAAGGAUCGUCCUAGGGUAAAACUGGU